RNAcentral lists this transfer RNA (67 nucleotides) under Silvanus bidentatus. RNAcentral's name for it is "tRNA-Tyr". It matches the Rfam family "tRNA". From Rfam's summary of the family: Transfer RNA (tRNA) molecules are approximately 80 nucleotides in length. The record is from RNAcentral. Lineage: Eukaryota; Metazoa; Arthropoda; Insecta; Coleoptera; Silvanidae.
GAUAAAAUGGCUGAGAAUAAAGGCAAUAAAUUGUAAAUUUAUUUAGGAAUUAAAAAUUCUUUUAUCA